UGGAAUAGGACACUGGUCACAGCUUCGUGGAGAGACAGGCGCACGAAUCAAGACAAAGAUAUAAGCAGUGGGAGUUAUAACCUUUCCUCUGCAACGACCGGCAGCUACUACAGUUGUGUCAGCCAGGUCACCAUAGGUUACGAUGCUGCAGGACCUGUUGCAAUUGGGCUCACCCACUGGAAAAAUCCCUACGCACAAGGCAGACCCACCCUACCAUCAGAUCUGCCUCUCUUCAUCUCCAAAGAUGCAGGCGUCCCAGUGUAUCACCAAUCCCUCACUCGUAAGACUGAGUUGGCCACGCCUCUGUCUUGCCCAGCCUCACUGUCCAUCACUCCAGUGCCUUCUUACAGCAGCAGCAGCCAGGAAACCCUGAGCCAGGACACAACAGGUAACAGAGCUGGCUUCCUGUUGGAGAUUCAGGACACAGUGUGUUUAAAGAGUCCUUCAUGCAUUUGCCUACUGAAUGGAUUGCAUCUGUAUUUCUGCUUGUGGACUCCAACAAUUCUCCCAUAUUUGCUGGCCUUUAAAUACCUUGGGUGUAUCAGAAGUAAGGUUAGAUGUGUUCAGAAAUAUUUGACCUAAGCAUUAGUUCUCUUUGGUAUGAUGUCAUCUGGAAAUCAACUCUGAACUAGAAUUCCAGGACUUUUUUCUUUGUUUAAUUUCUAUUCUCUAGAUAGCGACAAGGCAUCUAUCUUGAAUUACACUUUUGUAUUCAAGAAAGUUUUGAAUACAGUCAAGUUGGUAGUCAGUUGCUAUCAACACUUGAUGCUCCACCAGUUUGAUCUAUGUCAGGGGUCUGCCCAUCACUGCCAAUGGGCCAAAUCUUGGCUGCCGCUUGUUCUUUUUCAGCCCAAGAACUAAGAACUAAAAAUAGUUUGUUUUAAAUGGUCAGUAUCUUAGUCUGUUCAUGCUGCUAUGACAAGACCACAGAUCAGGUAGUUCAUAAAAAAGCAAAACAGUCUAGGGGCUGGAGGUUUGAGAUCAGGAUGCCAGCAUAGUUGGGUGAGGACCCUUUUUUGGGUCACAGACCUCUCGUAGUGUCCUUACAUGACAGAAAGGGUGAGGGAUCUCUGUGGGGUCUUUUUUGUAAGAAUGCUAAUCCCAGUCACGAUGGCUUUACCUUCAUGACCUAAGCACCUCCCAAGGGCCCCACCUCCUAAUACCAUCAUAUUAGGCAUUAGGACUUCAAAUGUAUACAUUUUGGAGGGACACAAACGUUCAGACCAUACUGCUGGGAAAAAUUAAAAGGAUGAUAAUCUUUGAGACAUGUGAAAUUCACAUUUCAGGGUUCAUAUAUAAAGCUUUGUUGGGACACAACCACUUGCGUUUUUGUCUCUGGUUGCUUUCAGGUGACAAUGGCAGAGUUGAGUAAUUGUGACAGAAAAUGGUAUGGCCUGCAAAGCCUAAAAUAUUUGCUCUGUGGCUCUUUGCAAAAAAUGUUGACCACUGAUCUAUGUGAUCUUUGGGGCUCAUGACUUAUACAGUCAGGGCAAGAAGAAUAUUCACAGCAUCUUGCUUUGAAAUUUAUUGCUUCCAUUAUAACUUUGAGUUGUGGAAAGCUUUACUUAGGCAAGAAUGGCCAGUUAAUUAAACAUUUCUAG
RNAcentral lists this long non-coding RNA (1601 nucleotides) under Capra hircus (goat). RNAcentral's name for it is "lncRNA (ENSCHIG00000001566.1)". Lineage: Eukaryota; Metazoa; Chordata; Mammalia; Artiodactyla; Bovidae. The record is from RNAcentral.